AUCCCAGCACCUUCACCGGCUCCCCCCUCCUCGCCGGAGGUUCUUCUUGCCUUCCACCAGCCUCCCCCCCUGCCUAGAAUGAUCUGCCUUGAGCUCUCCCUGUCCAAACAAGGCAAGUGUGGAGACGAUGGAGAGACGAGCGCUGCAGCCUGUCGUCCAGAGGAAAUAGCGGCUGGCGUCGACAUCAGCCGGGGUUGACCCGGACAAGCUUAUGCUGAGGAGAGAAACAGGGGAUGAGCAUCGCCGGGGCGGACGCGGCGAUAGUGGAAGGAGCGCAACACACUGGGGCAUAUCCAGAAGCUCCACUUCAUGAUUCUCCAGAAAUUUCGAAGUCCGUACGCCUCCCCUUUCUCGCCUCCUCUUCUCACUUCCAAAAUUUCCUCUAUUUUUUUUCUCAUUCUUUGCUGCUACUCCUUUCCCGGCGACUCCGGAGUUGAUAUAUUUGGUUGUGAUGGACUGAUGGUCAGGGGACCUGCGCGUCGAUCUGUGCGUCGACUGCGCCUGGGCGUGGUUUUCCCGGUGGUAGACGGGUCUCUUCUCUACCAAAUCUCUCUGCCCCUAGCGAGCAAUUCUGAGCUCUACCUAACCGAGUUCGCCGUGGUUGCCGACCUCGAUUUUUUCCAUCCUGUAAAGACGGAUUCCACCGCCGGCCGUCCUGCCGUGCGCGCUGCGCCGCUGCCCCAGCCGACGCCCCGCUCGGGCAGGUGGAGCUGCUGUUCCACCGGUCAUCAAGCCCAGCACCGUCGUGCAGCCGCCCGCCGGCUUGAUUUGUGUUCUUUCGCUAGAUGGGCUUCUUUUUCUAUUGACGAUAUUCAAGGAAGGCCGCCGUGUCCGUCUGGCCGGGGACCUCCUCCUUGCAGGUGCAGCUCCAGACACGCUCAACAGCCAGAGCAUGUACCAGCCCAGCUGCGUCCGGGUGUGAGCGCCCAGUCUUGUGUCUCAUCAUUGGAGCAGCAGUGUUUUAAUCACUCAUUUGAGGGUUCAGUAAGCUGGUGUAAUCUCGUGAAAGCAACUGGCAGAAAAUUAAUAUGUGAAGGCAUCAUGAAAUGAAGGAAGAGCUAGACUAGGGAAAUUGCAACGUUGAUGUAUCAUGGUCCCCGGGUUGCAAGGGAAAUUCAUAGUUGUGACAUUAUCUUGUGAUGGUGCGGGUUUAUUGUACCCUCUGAAAUUCCUCCAUACUGGUGAACUUGGAAAUUUCCCACACCAGAAUAUCUCUUUGAAGGUUGGUGUCCCUAUAAUGUUGUUGAAUAAAACAAUCAAUGGACAGGGUUGUGCAACAGAACUUGGCUCAUGGUUAAAGGUUAAGGCCAGACAUUGGAUAUGGCAAGUGUUUAUUUAUCAAAGCCUGUAUUUUCUCAUGAAAAGUCCCAAGAGUCACAAUGGAGAAAAAGACUGUAAAUACUUGCAAUAGACGACAAUGGUAUGUCAACUACUGAAACUACAACUAUCUUAUACUAGGAGGUACUGGAGUAUCUGUAAGAAAAACACCAGAAUCUCACCUUCAGAUUAUAGUUGUUCUGAAAGGGAGAAGGAAAGAAGUAUCCAAACUGAUGAAACAGACAUUCUGCAACUAGGCCUCCAUUUUGUCAGCAUCUGCCAUCGAGAAAACCAUUUCAAGUGUUAUUUGUCUACUCAGCCUUGUAGUGAGUAUGGAACAUAAGUAUCCAUGCAAUUCUACCAAAAAUAUUAUCCACCCGCUGUUGUAAGAAGUACGGACACUACCGAUGUACCGUGGCAUCAAGUAUCUAAAGAUCCAUGUAUAAUUAUUGUAACGACCCUUUUAGCUUAUUAUGUGUAGUCGACUACUCCCUUGGGCUUAGUUGUCAUGUUUGGUAGAUCAAACCACCUUUCACUUCCAAGUUACUUACAACUUGUGCCCUAAAUUUCUCAACAUUAUCGUAUACCCAUGCAGGAAGAGUAGACCAGCAAACUGCCCAAUAUCUUUGAAGAUAACAAGUCCACAACUCUG
This is a long non-coding RNA of Lolium perenne, 1969 nucleotides long. RefSeq lists it as uncharacterized. The record is from RefSeq and is a predicted model, not a curated record. NCBI's taxonomy places the organism in Eukaryota, Viridiplantae, Streptophyta, Magnoliopsida, Poales, Poaceae.